UAGAGAUUAAAUAAUAAUUUUUUUUUAAAUUAUUCACUUUAAUGGGCUUUCAUUGUGUAGCUCCCUGAUUAUUACUUGAUACCAUUGUACUUUCAUUGAAUAAAAAAAUAACUAUAUAAUAUAAUUAUCAUUUUAGUUAGAUAUUGUUUAAUAAAAAUAAUAAUAAUAAUUCUUUAUUAUUUAUAAACAUAUAGGUGAAUUGCUGUUCUAAGCAUAUGAAAUCCCAAGUUACACAAGUAGUAGUCAAAUUUUGUUUGAAUAAUCUUUGGCAUGUUAA
RNAcentral lists this unclassified non-coding RNA (277 nucleotides) under Hevea brasiliensis (rubber tree). The record is from RNAcentral. Lineage: Eukaryota; Viridiplantae; Streptophyta; Magnoliopsida; Malpighiales; Euphorbiaceae.